UGGGGAAUUUUGGACAAUGGGGGCAACCCUGAUCCAGCAAUGCCGCGUGUGUGAAGAAGGCCUUCGGGUUGUAAAGCACUUUUGUCCGGAAAGAAAACGUCGUGGUUAAUACCCGUGGCGGCUGACGGUACCGGAAGAAUAAGCACCGGCUAACUACGUGCCAGCAGCCGCGGUAAUACGUAGGGUGCAAGCGUUAAUCGGAAUUACUGGGCGUAAAGCGUGCGCAGGCGGUCCGCUAAGACAGACGUGAAAUCCCCGGGCUUAACCUGGGAACUGCAUUUGUGACUGGCGGGCUAGAGUAUGGCAGAGGGGGGUAGAAUUCCACGUGUAGCAGUGAAAUGCGUAGAGAUGUGGAGGAAUACCGAUGGCGAAGGCAGCCCCCUGGGCCAAUACUGACGCUCAUGCACCGAAAAGCGUGGGGGAGCAAACAGGAUUAGAUACCCUGGUAGUCCACGCCCUAAACGAUGUCAACUAGUUGUCGGGUCUUAUUGACUUGGUAACGUAGCUAACGCGUGAAGUUGACCGCCUGGGGAGUACGGUCG
This 542-nucleotide ribosomal RNA is filed under the name uncultured bacterium. RNAcentral describes it as "partial 16S ribosomal RNA". It matches the Rfam family "Bacterial small subunit ribosomal RNA", at positions 355 to 888 of the family's 1533-position model. The record is from RNAcentral.